UAGAAGGGUUUCCAUCAUGUGUAAAUGAUGAUCAGUUGAUUGAGAGAAUGGCUGGGUGGAAUGGUGAUCAAUACAUUCCAGAGGCAUAAUAUUUUACCGAAUGGGACAGUUGGCUAUAAACAUUGGCUGACAUCCUG
Molecule: small nuclear RNA, 137 nt
Filed under: Trichobilharzia regenti
Lineage: Eukaryota; Metazoa; Platyhelminthes; Trematoda; Strigeidida; Schistosomatidae
Description: U11 spliceosomal RNA
Rfam family: U11 spliceosomal RNA
Source: Rfam by way of RNAcentral